AGCCUGAUGCAGCGACGCCGCGUGGGGGAUGACGGUCUUCGGAUUGUAAACUCCUUUCAGUAGGGACGAAGCGAAAGUGACGGUACCUGCAGAAGAAGCACCGGCCAACUACGUGCCAGCAGCCGCGGUAAUACGUAGGGUGCAAGCGUUGUCCGGAAUUACUGGGCGUAAAGAGCUCGUAGGCGGUUUGUCACGUCGUCUGUGAAAUCCUCCAGCUCAACUGGGGGCGUGCAGGCGAUACGGGCAGACUUGAGUACUACAGGGGAGACUGGAAUUCCUGGUGUAGCGGUGAAAUGCGCAGAUAUCAGGAGGAACACCGGUGGCGAAGGCGGGUCUCUGGGUAGUAACUGACGCUGAGGAGCGAAAGCAUGGGGAGCAAACAGGAUUAGAUACCCUGGUAGUCCAUGCCGUAAACGGUGGGCGCUAGGUGUGGGGUCCUUCCACGGAUUCCGUGCCGUAGCUAACGCAUUAAGCGCCCCG
This 480-nucleotide ribosomal RNA is filed under the name Dietzia natronolimnaea. Its description in RNAcentral is "bacterial SSU rRNA". It matches the Rfam family "Bacterial small subunit ribosomal RNA", at positions 380 to 871 of the family's 1533-position model. The record is from RNAcentral. Lineage: Bacteria; Bacillati; Actinomycetota; Actinomycetes; Mycobacteriales; Dietziaceae.